CUGAAGCGCGCGGCCGAGGCAGGCGGACCCGCGCCCGGGAACCCCGCCCGGGGAGUGCAGCUGCCGGCGGCGCCACGGCGCGGUCAC
RNAcentral lists this microRNA precursor (87 nucleotides) under Cavia porcellus (domestic guinea pig). Its description in RNAcentral is "miRNA (ENSCPOG00000031319.1)". Lineage: Eukaryota; Metazoa; Chordata; Mammalia; Rodentia; Caviidae. The record is from RNAcentral.